RNAcentral lists this long non-coding RNA (2014 nucleotides) under Salmo trutta (river trout). Its description in RNAcentral is "lncRNA (ENSSTUG00000033305.1)". The record is from RNAcentral. Lineage: Eukaryota; Metazoa; Chordata; Actinopteri; Salmoniformes; Salmonidae.
AGUGUUCUGGACCAGCACAGUAGACGAUUAAGGAACCUGUGGCUGGAAGUCCUACAUCACAGAGGGGGAUGUGGCUGGAAGUCUACAUCACAGAGCGGAGCGGGGUGUGUGGCUGGAAGUCUACAUCACAGAGGGGGAGUGUGGCUGGAAAGUCUACAUCACAGAGGGGAGUGUGGCUGGAAGUCUACAUCAUAGAUCGGAGCGGGGUGUGUGGCUGGUAGGUCUACAUCAUAGAUCGGAGCGGGUUGUGUGGCUGGUAGGUCUACAUCAUAGAUCGAAGCGGGAUGUGGGCUGGUAGGUCUACAUCAUACAUCGGAGCGGGGUGUGUGGCUGGUAGGUCUACAUGACAGAGCGGAGCGGGGGGUGUGGCUGGUAGGUCUACAUCAUAGAUCGGAGCGGGGUGUGUGGCUGGUUGGUCUACAUCAUAGAUCGGAGCGGGGUGUGGAUGGUAGGUCUACAUCAUAGAUCGGAGCGGGGUGUGUGGCUGGUAGGUCUACAUCAUAGAUCGGAGCGGGGUGUGUGGCUGGUAGGUCUACAUCAUAGAUCGGAGCGGGUGUGUUGGCUGGUAGGUCUACAUCCAUAGAUCGGAGCGGGGUGUGUGGCUGGUAGGUUACAUCACAGUGUGGAGCGGGGUGUGUGGCUUGGUAGGUUACAUCACAGUGUGGAGUGGGGUGUGUGGCUGGUAGGGUCUAUAUCAUAGAGCGGAGCGGGGUGUGUGGCUGGUAGGUUACAUCACAGUGUGGAGUGGGGUGUGUGGCUGGUAUAGGUCUAUAUCAUAGCUUGGAGGUGGGGUGUGUGGCUGGUAGGUUUACCAUCAUAGAUCGGAGCGGGGUGUGUGGUGGUAGGUUACAUCACAGAGCGGAGCGGGGUGUGUGGCUGGUAGGUCUACAUCAUAGAUCGGAGCGGGUGUGUGGCUGGUAAGUCUACAUCAUAGAUCGGAGGCGGGUGUGGUGGCUGGUAGGUCUACAUCAUAGAUCGGAGUGGGUGUGUUGGCUGUAGGUCUACAUCAUAGAUCGGAGCGGGGUGUGUGCUGGUAGGUCUACAUCAUAGAUCGGAGCGGGGUGUGUGGCUGGUAGGUCUACAUCACAGAGCGGAGCGGGGUGUGUGGCUGGUAGGUCUACAUCACAGAGCGGAGCGGGUGUGUGGCUGGUAGGUCUACAUCACAGAGCGGAGCGGGUGUGUGGCUGGUAGGUUACAUCACAGAACAGAGCGGGGGAGUGUGGCUGGUAGGUUACAUCACAGUGUGGAGCGGGGUGUGUGGCUGGUUGGUCUACAUCAUAGAUCGGAGCGGGGUGGUGUGGCUGGUAGGUCUACAUCACAGAGCGGAGGCGGGUGUGUGGCUGGUAGGUUACAUCACAGUGUGGAGCGGGGGUGUGUGGCUGUAGGUUACAUCACAGAACAGAGCGGGGUGUGUGGCUGGUAGGUCUACAUCACAGAGCGGAGCGGGGUUGUGUGGCUGUAGGUCUACAUCAUAGAUCGGAGCGGGGAGGGUGGCUGGUUGGUCAACAUCAUAGAUCGAGCGGGGUGUGUGGCUGGUAGGUCUACAUCACAGAGCGGAGCGGGGUGUGUGGCUGGUAGGUCACAAUCACAGAGCGGAGCGGGGUGUGUGGCUGGUUGGUCUACAUCAUAGAUCGGAGCGGGGAGGGUGGCUGGUUGGUCAACAUCAUAGAUCGGAGCGGGGUGUGUGGCUGGUAGGUCUACAUCACAGAGCGGAGCGGGUGUGUGGCUGGUAGGUCUACAUCAUAGAUCGGAGCGGGUGUGUGGCUGGUAGGUCUACAUCACAGUGUGGAGCGGGGUGUGUGGCUGGUUGGUCUACAUCACAGAGCGGAGCGGGGUGUGUGGCUGGUAGGUCCUACAUCAUAGAUCGGAGCGGGUGUGUGGCUGGUAGGUCUACAUCACAGUGUGGAGCGGGUGUGUUGCUGGUAGGUUACAUCACAGUGUGGAGCAGGUGUGUGGCUGGUUGGUUAAUCACAGUGUGGAGCGCGGUGUGUUGGCUGUGGUGUAUGGUCUACAU